CAGCAACCACGGUAAUACGAAGGGGGCUAGCGUUGCUCGGAAUCACUGGGCGUAAAGGGUGCGUAGGCGGGUCUUUAAGUCAGGGGUGAAAUCCUGGAGCUCAACUCCAGAACUGCCUUUGAUACUGAAGAUCUUGAGUUCGGGAGAGGUGAGUGGAACUGCGAGUGUAGAGGUGAAAUUCGUAGAUAUUCGCAAGAACACCAGUGGCGAAGGCGGCUCACUGGCCCGGUACUGACGCUGAGGCGCGAAAGCGUGGGGAGCAAACAGGAUUAGAUACCCCGGUAGUCCCUGUCUCUUAUAU
RNAcentral lists this ribosomal RNA (301 nucleotides) under uncultured bacterium. RNAcentral's name for it is "partial 16S ribosomal RNA". It matches the Rfam family "Bacterial small subunit ribosomal RNA", at positions 509 to 809 of the family's 1533-position model. The record is from RNAcentral.